GGGUCAGUAGGUUGGUCGUGCCACCGGUACGUACUGGCCUCACUGAUUCCUCCUUCCUGAAGAACCGUAAUGCCAUUAAUUUGGUGUUGCGGGGAAACAGGACUGUUACUUUGAAAAAAUUAGAGUGUUUAAAGCAAGCCAACGCUUGAAUACAUUAGCAUGGAAUAAUGAAAUAGGACGAUCGAUCCUAUUUUGUUGGUUUCUAGGAUUGACGUA
This 216-nucleotide ribosomal RNA is filed under the name Glomeromycotina sp. RNAcentral's name for it is "partial small subunit ribosomal RNA". The stretch from base 40 to 216 matches the Rfam family "Eukaryotic small subunit ribosomal RNA", at positions 686 to 864 of the family's 1831-position model. Lineage: Eukaryota; Fungi; Glomeromycota. The record is from RNAcentral.